This 749-nucleotide ribosomal RNA is filed under the name Bacillus pumilus. RNAcentral describes it as "bacterial SSU rRNA". It matches the Rfam family "Bacterial small subunit ribosomal RNA", at positions 39 to 770 of the family's 1533-position model. The record is from RNAcentral. Lineage: Bacteria; Bacillati; Bacillota; Bacilli; Caryophanales; Bacillaceae.
GGGGGGGGGGCUAUACAUGCAAGUCGAGCGGACAGAAGGGAGCUUGCUCCCGGAUGUUAGCGGCGCCACGGGUGAGUAACACGUGGGUAACCUGCCUGUAAGACUGGGAUAACUCCGGGAAACCGGAGCUAAUACCGGAUAGUUCCUUGAACCGCAUGGGUCAGGGAUGAAAGACGGUUUCGGCUGUCACUUACAGAUGGACCCGCGGCGCAUUAGCUAGUUGGUGAGGUAACGGCUCACCAAGGCGACGAUGCGUAUCCGACCUGAGAGGGUGAUCGGCCACACUGGGACUGAGACACGGCCCAGACUCCUACGGGAGGCAGCAGUAGGGAAUCUUCCGCAAUGGACGAAAGUCUGACGGAGCAACGCCGCGUGAGUGAUGAAGGUUUUCGGAUCGUAAAGCUCUGUUGUUAGGGAAGAACAAGUGCAAGAGUAACUGCUUGCACCUUGACGGUACCUAACCAGAAAGCCACGGCUAACUACGUGCCAGCAGCCGCGGUAAUACGUAGGUGGCAAGCGUUGUCCGGAAUUAUUGGGCGUAAAGGGCUCGCAGGCGGUUUCUUAAGUCUGAUGUGAAAGCCCCCGGCUCAACCGGGGAGGGUCAUUGGAAACUGGGAAACUUGAGUGCACAAAAGGAGAGUGGAAUUCCACGUGUAGCGGUGAAAUGCGUAGAGAUGUGGAGGAACACCAGUGGCGAAAGCGACUCUCUGGUCUGUAACUGACACUGAGGAGCGAAAGCUGACGCACUC